Molecule: long non-coding RNA, 565 nt
Filed under: Gallus gallus (chicken)
Lineage: Eukaryota; Metazoa; Chordata; Aves; Galliformes; Phasianidae
Source: RNAcentral
CGCAAGGAAACACAUCUUUUGAAAGCGUCAACGUUGAAUACUGAAUAUUGCAAACAUUUCCUUUUGGUAUUGCUUUUGUUCUGCUUAAAACAAUUCCUGCUUUUCAGUAAUGCAGAGGGAAGAACGCUUUCCUUAAGAGACAUCUCAUUUUCGUUCUGAAGGUUCCCUUUUCUCUAUCCGGGAAGAUACGCUAAGUGAGGCCUUUCAGUCCCUACAGGGCAUUGUUGCAUUUGGAAGCACAGAAGACGUCCAGAGCGCUUGGCAGCAUUAACAGCAGAGCUACCAGCGAGCCCUGACUGUGAGACACUGCCACCCACGAAGCAGCAUGGGCAUUCAUUAGUUCUACCCCAUAGCAGGGGAGCACCGACAGCACAGCCCGGCCUCCUACGCCGGGACCACCAGCUGCUUUCUGUUCUGCACACUGGGCUGCACUUCCUCGCCAUCCUGCCCUGCCUGGAGGGGAGAUGCACACUGGCUCACCGCCCUGACAGCCAGUGGAUGCCACGACCUGACCUCCCCUCUGCCCCGCUCUGCAGGCAGCCCUCCCGAGCCAAGUGUGCUGGGG